Non-coding RNA from Struthio camelus australis, 5478 nucleotides. Lineage: Eukaryota; Metazoa; Chordata; Aves; Struthioniformes; Struthionidae. The record is from RefSeq and is a predicted model, not a curated record.
GUGAAAAACCUUUUCCUAAUAUCUUGUUGGGCUUGCCCAUGUUCCAGCUUGCAUCCAUUGCCUCUUGUCCUUCCACCACGCACCUCUGUCUUCCCUACGCCCUCCCGUCAGGUACUCGUACACGGUAAUGAGGUCUCCUCUUAGCAUGCCCUCCUCCGGGUGGAGCAAACCCCACUGCCUCAGCCUCCUUUUGUAUGUCGUGUGCUCCAGCCCCUGACCAUCUCGGUGAUUAUGAAGUAUGGGGAAAAUAAAAACGCUUUUUUAGUUAGCCAGCCUAUUCUGUUUACCUUUGCAGGCGGAAUCUGGUUUUUAUUCUUCUCCAGGGCAAAAGAGGUAAAUGCAUUUUUAUGCCCUCACGGGGCCUAAUGCUUUCCAAACCUGUGAUCCUUGUGCCCUGGCAGUUUGUCACCCGCUUCUAAGGAGGCCACAAAAGGUAACAAAGAAAUGUAAGGUUAUUGCCAGUUAGCUUAAAUUCUGGAUAUCCACAGCUCCAGUAGAAAUAUUUUUAAGGGAUCGCUUCUUGGAAAAAAAGGUUGAAAACAUUUUCUAUAAACCAGAUGUGCAAUAUUCUGUAUAUAAAUUCCUGUUAUUUUCCCUUGACAUCCAGGGAAGACAGGAGUGGACAAGCUUGGAUCCAGAAUCUUAACUGCCAAGAGGGAUGUUACUCUUGGAAAGAGCCGGUUUUUUGGAUAUUUGCUAUGUUUAGUGCAGAGGUAAUAGAUGUGCUCAGGAAUCUCAGUCAGAAAUCAUGGUCAAGCUGAACUGGACAGUGUAUGGAUGUGUCAUGAAGAAGCAAGGUUUUCACUUUUAAAAAUGACAGGAGCACAAACAACCAGAACAGGGGGAAGGUGCUAUACAGCCUUUGUUGCUUCUUCAUACCACAAAAUGGAUGUGGUUCACAUCUGAACGAAAGCAGCCACCUUUAGUGCAAGACUCCAGCCUGCUGCAGUGCUUCUCUGCCCUACUGUGACUGUCUCUAAGGGUGCUGACACUCCAGUUGUUGCUGUCGCAAUACAGUCUUUUCUCCUGGAGAUGUGCUGAGUCUACCAAUUCAUUUUAUGAGGGCAGCCCACCAGCCAUUUUGGAACGCAGGACCUGAUUUGAUAAGCUGAUAAAAGAAAACAAAACUGAGAACAUGUUGGAAGUGCUCAAAGUGAAAAUUACAGUUUAGGUAGGUUUGGGGGUAGAUAGUUAGACAUUUUAAUUGAACUAAAAUAGUUUUAUACUAAUACAGUACUGUUGUGGGAGUACAUUUUGUGGUGCAUUUGAAAUUGAAGAAUUUAAGUGGGGGGAAAUGUAUGUUAAUGCUUUGCAAGAAAGUGAUUUUUUAUACCAUCUAGCUAAGCAAAAUAGCUGUUAAAGAAAUAGCGCUCUCAAGUCUGCAUUGGAGAGUAAAGUGUAAUAACUUUUAUGCUCUUUUAGGAUAAUUUAUCCGAGUGAAGAGUUUGUAUUUUAUCACUUUAGUUGGUAUAUUAAACUGCUAUAGGAAACAGUCAUGUGAAUACUGAAGUAAAUUUGUAUUCCUGGACAACUACAGUAAAGUCAGCCCCUGCUGCUGUGAGGAAAGCUAUUGAGUCAGUCUGGAUUCGUAAAGUCUUGUGUUGUAAACAUCUUCGUGAUAAGGGUGACAGAAAUGAGUCCAGAUGAUGAUUUCUGUUAUCCGCAUGGAAACAAGUGCGUUGAAUUUGGUGUAACAGCUUUGGUUACUCACAGGCAACACUGGCUUGUGCUAAGCAUCAGAAACACCUGUUCAGCACUAGUCUACAGCUGGACUUGCUCAAAAUAGCUAAAUUGAUUAGAAUUACCAUUUUUAUUAUUUUCAUUUAAUUUUGUCUUUGGGGAUUUUCUCUAAAUUUGGAGUAACUAGUCCUACUUUAAAAAAAAAAAAAGCUACCACUUACACAUGCACAUGUAUACGUGCACCUGCAUGUGCACACACACAUACAUAUGCAUACACAAUUAACAAAAGGAGUGAAUUCAAGUUUUUUUAGGUAUAUAUGUGCAAGUGUGUAUAUACAACUAUAUUGUUCAGGUACAAGCUGAAACCAGUCUUAGCCUAAAUAAAUACAGGACACUAAUAGAGGGUUUUGCAAUCUUUUGAAUGCAACUGCUUUUAAAAUCAUAGCAGAGCCACAUGAUAGAGUGCAGAUAAAUUACACUGACCGUAGCUGCUAUCUUUUUUGCAAAUCAACAACCCCCACUUCUCGAGUCAUAUAUUACAAUUCCAUAAUCUUCCAAUUGUGUGCUCAUUUUCUACUGUACAAGCUUCAGUUUGAAGUUCUACCAGAUCUCUUGCUAGUCAUAUUUUAAGAAGGAAAGAACCUAAAUUAAUUUCUUUGAUUCAGAAUUGCGGAAUGGAUUGUAGUCCAUGUUUUGCAAGGAAUUAAGAGGCAGUAAAAAUAAUAUAGCCGUAGAGAGCUAUUCUAGUGCUUGUAACCUGUGGCAGUGGGUGGCUGUGACAGCUGUCCUUGCUAUCCUUGUUUUGCUGAGGGAAGCUGGAGGAAAGCGUGCCUGUUCUUUGCAAGCCUUAGUAAUCAAGCUAUGGCAGUGCGUUAUUUAGUUCAUAGUGUGCCCCGUAUAAAACUAUUUCAACCCAUUUUCCUUGGCAAAGCAGUAGGGAGAUCAAGGUGAUUGUAACACUUACACUUCUGGAGUGUUGCCCCUUUUCUGGGUAAAUGGGCAACCCGGUCAAGUACUUGGACUACCAAUAAGAAAAACAUCAUUUUACAUCUUAACCAAGCAGAUGUGAUGUGGACAUAUAUUUUCCAAAAUAAAAAGACAUCAUUAUAGAACAGUUUGUGUCAGACUAGAAGGAUGGAUUUAACCUAGCUGCAUUUUUAAGAUUCAUAACACUAAAUAAGAAAAAAACCCUCAAACCUUGGAUAAAACCUAAUGAUUUCAGUACAACAAAAUAACAUGAAAUAUUUUUACUUGAGUGUUUUGACUUAUGUGUACAUAUUUCUGUACACAUGUGCUUUUACACAAGUCUGCUGUACUACUUUGUGGCCCUUACUGUCCAGGAGCAGCAAAGGCCGGAUGCUCUGCAAGGAAGGUGAGCCUGGAGCUGACAGUGACAAGACAGGCAGGUGUGGGCAGAGAUCUCAGUGAUGAGGGGCACAGUCCCACAGUGCCCGAACAAAUAGAGCAGAGCAGGUGACAGUAACCAGGGUCUGGCAAUCGCCAGACAAAUCUGUAAUGAUGAGGCAGGUCUGAGGUGGGAAGUCAAGGUGGCUGAUUGGGGGGUCAUUGAAGUACUGGGGCAGGCAGGGGCAUCCCUGCAGCAUCAUCUCAGGACCUUGGUCCUUGCCUGAGCGAACCUUCUCCCAGCUCUUCCUCCCACAGCUCUUUGCCCAGGCCCUGAUCCAAGUGCUCAGGGCUGCAGCACCUCACGCUGGCCUUGGGCACAGGGAGCCAAACCCUGGGUGUGGAGAGAAGAGGUUGCAGAGCCUGCUGGUGUGCUCAGGACCGUGAAGCUUAUAGAAAAAUGUAGAGCAGUUUCAAAUGGUCAGUGAGGACCUGAUGUAAAGCCUGUGGAAAUCAGUAUCAAUCCUGUUCUCAACUCCACUGGGCUUUAGGUCAGGUCUUGGUUGCUGGCAAGGUGGUUGGGCUCUCUAGUCAUGAGUGUGGACCAACCACCUUCAUGAAUAGUUUAAUUGGCCCAAUUGGAGUUACUUUUUCUUGUUGUUGUCUGUUGGCCAUUUUAUUCUAAAUGAUUUUUAAUUAAAAAGUGUACUUUUUCAAGUGCCAUUUAAGGGAAACUGCUUCCAAAUGUGUAAUUAGAAAUGCUUAGCAUUAACAAAACAUCAUUUUUGUAAAAGUAUUAUCUUUUGUCUGAGCAGAAUGAAGGCGAUUUGCAUAUUCAGUUUUAAAAUCCCUAUUUCUUCAUACUAAAAUAUCUGUUCCACAUAAAAUAUCUAUUCCAUGCUCUUUGCAUUAAUUUUGCUUCACUGAUUCCAAGUUGUAGCUCUGGUGCUCAUACAUUCCUCUUUAGGCCCUUAAGUGUGAUGAAUAUAGAAACAAUUACUUCCAGAAGGGCUUGAAAAGGUUAAUAUUAGUGCCUGUGGAACUCUGGUAACGUAUAAGAGUUCAUUUCUUUUUCUUUUGUUUUCCCCUUUGCCGAAGGUGGCCUAUGUUCUUUCUGGAAGUUGCUCGUACCAAUAUCAUCAGAGUAAUCUCAUUUUUUGUAAAGGCCCGGGUUUUUGUUACAGAUUUUCUGUACCAUGCUCAAAAUUCUUUAACUGCAUAAAGGUAUAGCAUACAGCUAUAUAAAAUAAGGUCCAUUGUGACAGCUUUUCUGAAAAAAUGUUGCAGCUAUUCUAUAAGAGGAGUGGGAUUUUAGCUGAUCAUGAAACUUCUUGUAGCUCUGCAUUGGGAUGGUAUUAAUUUUAUUGGACUUAUACUGCAUGAAACAUUUACGUACUUGUGCAAAUAAUUAGUUUGAAAGAAUUUCAGAUUUAAUACGUUAGGUAUUUAUGAACUGUAGCCCAAUAAAGGUUUUAGUAGCUUGUUCUGUCAAGUAGCUUAAUGGCACAUGCAAGUAAUUCUCCUAAUAACUUUGAUUAAUGCCUAGAAGGUCUUCCUAGCUAGAAGCUAAAAUUUCUGAUUUCUUUACUUAAAUGCAAAAUAUAGUAAAACAGUGAGAUUCAGUUAAUUCCUUUUAAAUGUUAAAAUUUCAAACUUCCAAAUAGGUAAUUUUCACAUGGGGAAUAUUGCUGGUCUUUAGUGCAUCAUGAGUGUUUGUGGUUAUUCCAAAGCAGUAGUUAUAAUUCUUAAUCACAGUAAGGAAAUGUGCAGACAGUGUGCUAAUUUGUACAUUAUGCAUUUAAGCAUAACAAUCAAAGAGUACAGCGUAGAUGAGAAAAACCUUAGUGCCCAAAGAUCAAAAAUACCUUUCCCAGACCAACAGGCCAUUCAGCUGGAGACAAAACAGAAGAUCCUUCUUGUAACGUGAUCAGAAACCAAUAUGAUAAGAUUUCAAUUUUUUUUAUUAGAGUCAGUGCGGAAACAAAUAAACAAACUUAUUUUAGAACUUUGAAAUUUACUUUAUAAUUGAAUGUCAAAGCUUAAUUUUUAAAAAGCUUAUCACAAAUGACAGUGUGGAUUUUUAAAACUGUAUAUUUAAAAUCUCCUCUUCAAUCUGUUGUUCAUUUUACUUUCCAACAACUCUGUGUUUAGGCACUGCGAACAUGGAAGUGAUCAUAUCUUUUGCUAAACUUAGAUCUUGUGCUCUUGCAGCUCCAGACACUGAAGCAUUCACAUGUUGCCUUUUUAAAACUAAAACAAGUAAAUAGUGUUUUGACAUGGAUUUAAAAGCUUCAGUGCAGCAGAUAUCUUGAUAAAUAUUGGUUUAGCAUCAAGUAUGACCGUGGUUGCCCAGAGAGGAUGUGGAAUCUCCAUCCCUGUAGAUGUUUAAACUGCAGCUGGACAUGGCCUGAGCAACCUGAAGUAGUUGGACCCGCUUUUGACCAGAUGUCAUCU